Molecule: regulatory RNA element, 109 nt
Organism: Brachybacterium phenoliresistens
Lineage: Bacteria; Bacillati; Actinomycetota; Actinomycetes; Micrococcales; Dermabacteraceae
Rfam family: TPP riboswitch aptamer (THI element)
About the family: Vitamin B(1) in its active form thiamin pyrophosphate (TPP) is an essential coenzyme that is synthesised by coupling of pyrimidine and thiazole moieties in bacteria. The previously detected thiamin-regulatory element, thi box was extended, resulting in a new, highly conserved RNA secondary structure, the THI element, which is widely distributed in eubacteria and also occurs in some archaea. Analysis of operon structures identified a large number of new candidate thiamin-regulated genes, mostly transporters, in various prokaryotic organisms.
Source: Rfam
CGCGCCGAGCACGGGAGUCCAGUGAGCUGGGCUGAGAGGGAGUUCUCCAACUCCGACCGUAGAACCUGAUCCGGAUCAUGCCGGCGCAGGGAGCUUCGCCGGACGACCG